GGACAACAGAAAGAAGACGCCAUACAAACAGCUGUGACUGAGGCCAGAUUGUUAUUGGUGGAAUAAACGUUGAUUUCAUCGCUAAAGGAACAACAAAGAAAUUGGUGUUUGGUCAGACAAAUCCAGGAAGUGUUUGUCAGUCAUUUGGAGGUGUGGGCAGAAAUAUUGCUGGUAUCUCAGUUUGAGGAUCACCUUGCGUGAUGAUGUUACCAUCAAUAGUUCUUGAUGGUAACAUUCCAGUUUUGACCACUGAUUACGUGUGCUGUAUCGCCAAAAAACGUGCAGUCCCUGCCCACAGAUGCAGAUAAGGCCUGUAAGCCCUUCCUGUCAGAGAGCUGGAAAGCCCUAUCUUACACCACCCCCAACAUGGCUGAGCUCUGCACCAUGAAUCAUACACUAGAUCUACCCACUCCUACAGGUACCAGAGUUAGAAACCACCUAAAAUAAGCCAAAAAAAUAUUUUGAUUCAGAGUUGCCCAGAUCACUUGAUGAUGUCUUGGGCUGUAUACCAGCUCUGUCCUGCCCCCUGCUGGAGCAUCUGCAUUGUGUGGUGGUCACUUUAGGUGUGCUAGGUGUAAUGGUGUGUGGAGAACAUGAUGCUGGGACUGUAAAUUUGCAGCCA
This is a long non-coding RNA of Cyprinus carpio (common carp), 622 nucleotides long. RefSeq lists it as uncharacterized. The transcript has 5 exons. The record is from RefSeq and is a predicted model, not a curated record. NCBI's taxonomy places the organism in Eukaryota, Metazoa, Chordata, Actinopteri, Cypriniformes, Cyprinidae.